GACGAACGCUGGCGGCGUGCCUAAUACAUGCAAGUCGAACGAACCGCGACUAAGUGCUUGCACUAAGUCAAGGUGAGUGGCGAACGGGUGAGUAACACGUGGGUAACCUACCUCAUAGUGGGGGAUAACAGUCGGAAACGACUGCUAAUACCGCAUAGGACAUAGGAUCACAUGAUCCAGUGAGGAAAGGUGGCGCAAGCUAUCGCUAAGAGAUGGACCCGCGGUGCAUUAGCUAGUUGGUAGGGUAAAGGCCUACCAAGGCGAUGAUGCAUAGCCGACCUGAGAGGGUGAACGGCCACAUUGGGACUGAGACACGGCCCAAACUCCUACGGGAGGCAGCAGUAGGGAAUCUUCCGCAAUGGACGCAAGUCUGACGGAGCAACGCCGCGUGAGUGAAGAAGGUCUUCGGAUCGUAAAGCUCUGUUGUUAGAGAAGACCAGCGCAUAGAGUAACUGCUAUGCGUGUGACGGUAUCUAACCAGAAAGCCACGGCUAACUACGUG
This 502-nucleotide ribosomal RNA is filed under the name uncultured bacterium. Its description in RNAcentral is "partial 16S ribosomal RNA". It matches the Rfam family "Bacterial small subunit ribosomal RNA", at positions 28 to 507 of the family's 1533-position model. The record is from RNAcentral.